Homo sapiens (human) is the source of this 3843-nucleotide RNA transcript. It is a transcript of the gene named integrator complex subunit 4 pseudogene 1, with no coding region annotated. The record is from RefSeq and is marked validated. The transcript has 18 exons. NCBI's taxonomy places the organism in Eukaryota, Metazoa, Chordata, Mammalia, Primates, Hominidae.
GAGGGCGGGAGCGGCAGACUCCGCUGCCAGCUCUACUGGCGUCCUGGCAAGGGCAGCGCCGAGGGGCGCUCCCGGUCCAGCUCUCCCGGCUCGGGGGUUCCUUGCCUAGGCGCCAGAGCCCCGGGCUCCCUGCCUCGGCCGCUGUGGCCUGCAUAGAGCGGCACUGCGCGCGGAGGCGAUGGGAGAGAAGAAGGAGGGCGGUGGCGGGGGUGAUGCAGCGGCCGCUGAGGGUGGCGCAGGGGCCCCGGCCAGCCCGGGGCUGCAGCAGUGCAGACAGCUCCAGAAGCUCAUCGGCAUCUCCAUUGGCAGCCUGCGCGGGCUGGGCACCAAGUGCGCUGUGUCCAACGACCUCACCGAGCAGGAGAUACGGACCCUGGAGGCCUGUAAAUUACUCUCUGAUGACUAUGAACAAGUGCGCAGUGCUGCAGUCUAGCUUAUCUGGGUUGUCAGUCAGCUCUAUCCUGAAAGCAUUGUCCCAAUUCCUUCUUCUAAUGAAGAAAUACGCUUAGUUGAUGAUGCGUUUGGAAAAAUUUGUCACAUGGUCAGUGAUGGCUCUUGGGUGGUUCAUGUUCAGGCAGCAAAACUGUUGGGCUCUAUGGAGCAAGUCAGUUCUCAUUUCUUGGAGCAGACCCUUGACAAGAAGCUGAUGUCAGAUCUGAGGAGGAAACGUACUGCACAUGAGCGUGCCAAGGAACUUUACAGUUCAGGGGAGUUUUCCAGUGGCAGAAAGUGGGAAGAUGAUGCUCCCAAGGAAGAAGUAGAUACCGGGGCUGUGAACUUGAUUGAGUCAGGAGCUUGUGGAGCUUUUGUUCAUGGGUUGGAAGAUGAGAUGUAUGAGGUUCGUAUUGCUGCUGUGGAGGCCCUCUGCAUGUUGGCCCAGUCUUCACCCUCUUUUGCUGAGAAGUGCCUUGAUUUCCUAGUUGACAUGUUCAACGAUGAAAUUGAGGAAGUACGUCUGCAGUCCAUACAUACCAUGAGAAAAAUCUCUAACAACAUCACCCUCCGAGAAGAUCAGCUUGACACUGUCCUGGCUGUGCUAGAGGAUUCAUCCAGAGAUAUUCGAGAGGCUCUUCAUGAACUCUUAUGCUGUACUAAUGUUUCAACCAAAGAAGGGAUUCAUCUUGCAUUGGUGGAGCUGCUGAAAAAUUUAACCAAGUACCCUACUGAUAGGGACUCCAUAUGGAAGUGCUUGAAGUUUCUGGGAAGUCGGCAUCCAACCCUGGUGCUUCCCUUGGUGCCAGAGCUUCUGAGCACCCACCCAUUUUUUGACACAGCUGAACCAGACAUGGAUGAUCCAGCUUAUAUUGCAGUUUUGGUACUUAUUUUCAAUGCUGCUAAAACCUGUCCAACAAUGCGAGCAUUGUUCUCAGGCACUAUGCCUACCUCCGAGACAGUCUUUCUCAUCUUGUUCCUGCCUUGAGGUUGCCAGGUAGAAAACUGGUGUCAUCAGCUGUUUCUCCCAGCAUCAUACCUCAAGAGGAUCCUUCGCAGCAGCUCCUGCAGCAGAGCCUUGAAGGAGUGUGUAGUCUUCAGCACUUGGACCCUCAGGGAGCCCAGGAGCUGCUGGAAUUCACCAUCAGGCCUUGCAGGAAAAGUCGUGGAAUGUAGCUGCCCCUUCGUAUUUGAAGCAGAGUGAUUUGGCCUCAGCAGCAGCGAAACAGAGACCUACAAAAUGGAAUUCAUGUAGAGUGGUGUGGAGAAUAAGCAGGUGGUGAUUAUACAUCACAUGAGGCUGCAGGCCAAAGCUUUGCAACUUAUAAUAACAGCACGAACUACACGAGGACUUUACCCCUUAUUUGGGAUGUGUGAAAAAUUUUUACAGGAAGUAGACUUUUUUCAGAGGUAUUUCAUCGCUGAUUUGCCCCACUUGCAGGACAGCUUUGUGGACAAACUCCUUGACCUUAUGCCCCGAUUCAUGACAUCCAAACCUGCAGAAGUGGUCAAAAUUCUACAGACCAUGCUGCGACAGAGUGCCUUUCUGCAUCUCCCACUUCCAGAGCAGAUCCACAAAGCCUCAGCCACCAUCAUUGAGCCAGCAGGCGAGUCAGACAACCCUUUGCGGUUUACCUCUGGGUUGGUGGUUGCCCUGGAUGUUGAUGCAACCCUGGAGCAUGUGCAGGAUCCUCAGAACACUGUUAAGGUCCAGGUCCCAGAGAGCUACUCACUGCAUGUGUCUUUGACCUGCUGUUGAUUCAUCUCCUCUGCUAAGAAGGUGGCUGAUGGCUGGGCUAUUUACACCUAGGAGGGUGUUCCAGGCCAGGCCCCAGGGAGCCUAAAAUAAUCAAAAAGGACACAUGAACCAUUAACAAGAAAAAUAUUUAAAUAAGAAACUCACCAAGCCAGGAGAAUAAUGAAUACCUGGAUGUGCCCCCUAGGAAUCUGGAUCUCUUCUCUUUUCCCCACCCUGCCCUCAACUCCCCUUACAUACAUACAGCCUGGAUCACAAGACCCAAGAAAACCAUUCCACCAGCUGCUGAGAGAAGAGCCACAAAAGGACCCAGAACUUCUCCAUGGCUACCUUAGAGCACCCUAAAAUGUGCUAACAGCCAUUGUUAGCAUUCAGGAGCUGUUUAUUCCCAUUUUCACACUACACUAAAGAAUUUUAAACAAUCACAAGAUAGACUGGCUGGAAGUUGGUGCUUGGAACAUCCCACGUCACCUAAAAGCACAGUGCUGCAAUCUCAGAAACCCCAGGCUCAGCCAGCAGAGAGAGGAGAAGCAGCUGGACAUUGGAGACUAUGAUUGGACAUUAGAGAGAAGGAGCUUGACUUCACAGAGAAAGCAUGAUGGAAUAAUUUCAGAGAAAAGUCUGGCCAGGGAUGACCAGACUUCAGGGGAAGAUAAUCUUGCUCAAUAUCCUUUUCUGCUCCCCUUCCUGCUGAGAGUCACUUUGAUUGGCAAUAAAAUAUCUCACAUUUACCAUCUUCAAUUUGUUCUUGCAACCUCAUUCCUCCUGGAUGCCAGACAAGAACUCAGGUGCCAUGAGUAUGGGUGCAAAAGGCUAUCACACUGUCCCUCCACUGAGCUGUUAACACUUAAGCUAUCCAUGGACAGCAAAGCUAAAAGGGCACUGUAAGAGUCCUUCUGGGGUUUCAGAAGUCAUGAGCAUCCCCCAGAUGCUGCCAUGGGGCCAGUACAGAGUUUGCUCCUGCCAGAGUCCAAAAAUGUCUCAGCUCCUGCACCCAGUCACCUGCAUGCUCCCCCUCCCACAAGUGGUGGAGCACAGUGGGCUGAGUGAGUGGAGUUUGCCCCUGCCAGCACCCGUGCACUCCAGUUCCCACCUGUGAAGGUGUCAGAGAGAUAUUCUGCUUAAAAAUCAGAGUGACUCCAUCUUAAAUAGCAGCUGGGUGAGAUAAGGCUGAGACCUACUGGGCUGCAUUCCCAGGAGGUUAGGCAUUCUAACCUUCUAUCAGGAUGAGAUAGAAGGCCAGCAUAAGAUAUAGGUCACGAAGACUCUGCUGAUAAAACAGGAUGUGGUUUAAAUAAAUGCCAGCCAGAACCCACCAAAACCAAGAUGGUGAUGCUCAUUCUCACUGCUCAUUAUAUGCCAGUAUAAUGCAUUUGCAUGCAAAAAGACUCUACCACCAGUGCCAUGACAGCUUACAGAUGCCAUGGCAAGAUCUGGAAGUUACCCUGUAGCCUCUAAAAUGGGGAAGAACCCUCAGUUCUGGAAAAUUUCUGCCCCUUUCCUGAAAAACUCAUGAAUAAUCUACCCUUUGUUUAGCAUAUAAUCAAGAAACAACUAUAAGUAUAGUCAAUCGAGCAGCCAAUCUCACCGCUCUGUCUAUGGAGUAGUCAUUCUUUUAUUUACAUCUCUAAUAAAAUUGCUUUCACUUUACUGUA